GACGAACGCUGGCGGCGUGCUUAACACAUGCAAGUCGAACGGAAAGGCCCUGCUUUUGUGGGGUGCUCGCGUGGCGAACGGGUGAGUAACCCGUGAGUAACCUGGCCUUGACUUUGGGAUAACUUCAGGCAACUGGUGCUAAUACCGGCUAGGAGCUCCUGCUGCAUGGUGGGGGUUGGAAAGUUUCGGCGGUUGGGGAUGGACUCGCGGCUUAUCAGCUUGUUGGGUGGGUAGUGGCUUACCAAGGCUUUGACGGGUAGCCGGCAUGGGAGGGUGACCGGCCACAUUGGGACUGAGAUACGGCCCAGACUCCUACGGGAGGCAGCAGUGGGGAAUAUUGUACAAUGGGCCGAAGCCUGAUGCAGCAACGCCGCGUGCGGGAUGACAGCCUUCGGGUUGUAAACCGCUUUCGCCUGUGACGAAGCGUGAGUGACGGUAAUAGGUAAAGAAGCACCGGCUAACUACGUG
RNAcentral lists this ribosomal RNA (468 nucleotides) under uncultured bacterium. Its description in RNAcentral is "partial 16S ribosomal RNA". It matches the Rfam family "Bacterial small subunit ribosomal RNA", at positions 28 to 507 of the family's 1533-position model. The record is from RNAcentral.